This 465-nucleotide ribosomal RNA is filed under the name uncultured bacterium. RNAcentral describes it as "partial 16S ribosomal RNA". It matches the Rfam family "Bacterial small subunit ribosomal RNA", at positions 339 to 795 of the family's 1533-position model. The record is from RNAcentral.
CUACGGGAUGCUCCAGUGGGGAAUAUUGCACAAUGGGCGCAAGCCUGAUGCAGCCAUGCCGCGUGUAUGAAGAAGGCCUUCGGGUUGUAAAGUACUUUCAGCGGGGAGGAAGGGAGUAAAGUUAAUACCUUUGCUCAUUGACGUUACCCGCAGAAGAAGCACCGGCUAACUCCGUGCCAGCAGCCGCGGUGAAUACGGCGGGUGCAAGCGUUAAUCGGAAUUACUGGGCGUAAAGCGCACGCAGGCGGUUUGUUAAGUCAGAUGUGAAAUCCCCGGGCUCAACCUGGGAACUGCAUCUGAUACUGGCAAGCUUGAGUCUCGUAGAGGGGGGUAGAAUUCCAGGUGUAGCGGUGAAAUGCGUAGAGAUCUGGAGGAAUACCGGUGGCGAAGGCGGCCCCCUGGACGAAGACUGACGCUCAGGUGCGAAAGCGUGGGGAGCAAACAGGAUUAGAUACCCCCGUAGUC